RNAcentral lists this long non-coding RNA (614 nucleotides) under Mus pahari (shrew mouse). Its description in RNAcentral is "lncRNA (MGP_PahariEiJ_G0003889.1)". The record is from RNAcentral. Lineage: Eukaryota; Metazoa; Chordata; Mammalia; Rodentia; Muridae.
GGGGAUAUGGGGGUGGGGGGUGGGGGAGAUGAAGGCAGACCUGAGCUGCAUGGACAGGAACAGUGGCCUAUCAUCGCUCCCUAGUGUCUGUGCUAUUGAAGACGCUUGUCCUGAAGAUGGGGGACCACCUGAAGAGGUGCCCAGGGAACAGACUCCCCUUAAAACUUGACAAGGAUAUUUCCUGGGACCUAGGCCCAGCCUUAUUAGAGCUCUGGAGAUUCAAACUCAGGUCCUCAUGCUUGGGUGGCACGUGCCUCAUCUGCUGAGCUCUUCUAUCUUUUUCUAUUCUCUGGAGAUCUAAUGAAUCCAGCUCUGACCUGCACCCCGAAGUCGCUGGUCUAGCUGGCAGAGCUGUCGGAGGAAGCCGCGAUUGGGGAAGAUCCAUCGGCGCUCCCUCACAGUGAUUAUGGCCUGCUGCAAGGACAGCUGCUGGUGGAGCAUGAGGUAAGCCAGGACCAGUGUGGCUGAUCGGCUCACGCCCACCACGCAGUGCACCAGCACCUUAGCUGAAGAAGAUGCGCAGAUGAAGGACUCCUCUCGACCAGCCAGCCCACCCAGGGUCUAUUCCCGAACCUGUAUUGGGUGUAUCAUGGGACCUGGAGCAAGUUCCUCAA